UGUAAUGAAAGUAUACAACCAAGAUUACAUCAAACCUACGUGAUUAAUAGAAAAAAAUUAAACUUGCCAACUUGUCAACUUGUCAAAAUAUAAUUUGGAAAUUUAAGAAAUGAAUACAACAGAAGAAAACGUAAAAAUAUUAAAUUGGUACUAUCGCCAUGUAAUCAGUCGAAUUGUGGGUAGUUGGAUGUGGGGGAGUUCCAUCCAUUUGAAACGAAACCAAUCAUCAAAACUUAAAUAUUGAAUUUCGUGCACUGUGGUAACGUAGCAGUCUUAAAAAGGAAUUAGAAUUCAAAUUUUCUUCAAUAAAAAAUGGACCAGGUUU
This is a long non-coding RNA of Zophobas morio, 325 nucleotides long. RefSeq lists it as uncharacterized. Lineage: Eukaryota; Metazoa; Arthropoda; Insecta; Coleoptera; Tenebrionidae. The transcript is spliced from 2 exons. The record is from RefSeq and is a predicted model, not a curated record.